Non-coding RNA from Lasiosphaeria hispida, 123 nucleotides. Lineage: Eukaryota; Fungi; Ascomycota; Sordariomycetes; Sordariales; Lasiosphaeriaceae. The record is from the annotation of a GenBank genome assembly.
AUCCCUAUGGCACAGUGGUAGCGCACUUUGCUCUUGUGUAUAGGGCAACUUAUGCAUGUCCCAUGCAGCAAGUUGUCCUGUAUAGUGUCAGAGAGGUUAGGGGUUCAAUUCCUCCUAGGGGCA